ACAACAUGAUGGGAACACUUUCUAAUCAAGUCCUUAAGUCUUUCCCAGGUCUCAUGAAAUUUCUCACCAUUAAUUUGCAAAAAGCUAGUGAUGCCUCGCCUAAUUUG
This is a small nucleolar RNA of Telopea speciosissima, 107 nucleotides long. Lineage: Eukaryota; Viridiplantae; Streptophyta; Magnoliopsida; Proteales; Proteaceae. The record is from RefSeq and is a predicted model, not a curated record.